This 305-nucleotide ribosomal RNA is filed under the name uncultured bacterium. RNAcentral describes it as "bacterial SSU rRNA". It matches the Rfam family "Bacterial small subunit ribosomal RNA", at positions 335 to 656 of the family's 1533-position model. The record is from RNAcentral.
UUUCCUACGGGGCGCAGCAGUGGGGGAUAUUGCACAAUGGGGGGAACCCUGAUGCAGCGACGCCGCGUGAGUGAAGAAGUAUCUCGGUAUGUAAAGCUCUAUCAGCAGGGAAGAAGCAAGACGGUACCUGACUAAGAAGCCCCGGCUAACUACGUGCCAGCAGCCGCGGUAAUACGUAGGGGGCGAGCGUUAUCCGGAUUUACUGGGUGUAAAGGGAGCGUAGACGGCAUGGCAAGUCUGGAGUGAAAGCCCGGGGCCCAACCCCGGGACUGCUCUGGAACCUGCCAUGCUAGAGUGCUGGAGAG